GACGAACGCUGGCGGCGUGCUUAACACAUGCAAGUCGAACGGUAAGGCCCCAGCUUGCUGGGGUACACGAGUGGCGAACGGGUGAGUAACACGUGGGUGACCUGUCCCGCACUUCGGGAUAAGCUUGGGAAACUGGGUCUAAUACCGGAUAGGACCGCACCGUGAGGGUGUGGUGGAAAGUUUUUCGGCGUGGGAUGGGCCGGCGGCCUAUCAGCUUGUUGGUGGGGUAAUGGCCUAGCAAGGCGGCGACGGGUAGCCGGCCUGAGAGGGUAGGCGGCCAAGUUAGGACUGGAAUGCGACACAGACUAGAACGGGAGGCGACGGUGGAGUGGGGAACACUAUAGGAGGAGGGCUAAUGCGACGAAGCAGCGUGGGGGGUGAGGGGCUGGGGGUAGGAAAGUACAUUCACCGUAGACGGGAGGUUACUGACGGUAGAUGGAGAAGAAGCACCGGCUAACUACGUG
Molecule: ribosomal RNA, 464 nt
Filed under: uncultured bacterium
Lineage: Bacteria
Description: partial 16S ribosomal RNA
Rfam family: Bacterial small subunit ribosomal RNA
Source: RNAcentral